UACAGAGGUCUCAAGCGUUGUUCGGAUUCAUUGGGCGUAAAGGGUGCGUAGGCGGCGCGGUAAGUCGGGUGUGAAAUCUCGGAGCUUAACUCCGAAACUGCAUUCGAUACUGCCGUGCUUGAGGACUGGAGAGGAGACUGGAAUUUACGGUGUAGCGGUGAAAUGCGUAGAUAUCGGGAGGAACACCAGUGGCGAAGGCGGCUCACUGGCCCGGUACUGACGCUGAGGCGCGAAAGCGUGGGGAGCAAACAGG
Molecule: ribosomal RNA, 253 nt
Filed under: uncultured bacterium
Lineage: Bacteria
Description: partial 16S ribosomal RNA
Rfam family: Bacterial small subunit ribosomal RNA
Source: RNAcentral